CCUACGGGGCGCAGCAGUGAGGAAUAUUGGUCAAUGGACGAGAGCCUGAACCAGCCAAGUCGCGUGAAGGAUGACUGCCCUAUGGGUUGUAAACUUCUUUUAUAUGGGAAUAAAAUGUUCCACGUGUGGGAUUUUGUAUGUACCAUAUGAAUAAGGAUCGGCCAACUUCGUGCCAGCAGCCGAGGUAAGACGGAGGAUCCGAGCGUUACCCGGAUUUAUUGGGUUUAAAGGGAGCGUAGGUGGAUUGUUAAGUCAAUUGUGAAAGUUUGCGGCUCAACCGUAAAAUUGCAGUUGAAACUGGCAGUCGUGAGUACAGUAGAGGUGGGCGGAAUUCGUGGUGUAGCGGUGAAAUGCUUAGAUAUCACGAAGAACUCCGAUUGCGAAGGCAGCUCACUGGACUGCAACUGACACUGAGGCUCGAAAGUGUGGGUAUCAAACAGGAUUAGAUACCCGGGUAGUC
Molecule: ribosomal RNA, 460 nt
Filed under: uncultured bacterium
Lineage: Bacteria
Description: partial 16S ribosomal RNA
Rfam family: Bacterial small subunit ribosomal RNA
Source: RNAcentral